RNAcentral lists this long non-coding RNA (342 nucleotides) under Sinocyclocheilus anshuiensis. RNAcentral describes it as "lncRNA (ENSSANG00000033167.1)". Lineage: Eukaryota; Metazoa; Chordata; Actinopteri; Cypriniformes; Cyprinidae. The record is from RNAcentral.
GCCUUAAUUAGCCCAUUUGAGUAAUCAGUGGCUUGAUUGGUCCUGUGUGCUUAAGUAAACCAGCACAUGCGAAGAGUGCUGGCGGGAUUCAGGGCGUUUCAAGAGCACUGGUUCACUCAGGGUAGUUUGUCUAGCACUCACCUCUUCAUUCAGCCACCACUUGACAGCGCAGACUCUUCAGAGGCCUGCCUGAUGCCCAUCAGCAUGAGGGACUCCAGUCUUCAUCCUUCAUCACCGCACAAAGACAUCUGGACGAUUGUCAAGGACGUCACAAUCUCUGUGAUAGCUGACAUAUCCCAUGGGCCAUUGCAGAAAAAGGAAAGCAAAGUCACUCUUGCGUGA